GGAAAUAAUAAUAAGGAUGGUAGUGCGCGCACAUGUCGUGCAAAACCAACGACAUUGCCGUCGUACCAUUUAGCAUCACUGAAAGUAAAUAUCAAAUUAAUUUGGGCAACAUUCUUCAAGAGUUGUAAACGUUUUUUCGUAUUCCGAUAUCAAAUCGUUUUCAUCUCGUUCCCAAUUUUUUCAAGAACUGUCCCAAACCAUAUGGAAGAGCCCUUUCUAAAAUCAAUUUUCAGUCUUUCUUCCUCUCCAAAUCGUAUGCAUAACAAGGUUCAAUUUCAGAAUUCUAUUUCCAAAUCAAGCAAGGUGUUUCACUUAAUUGAUGUUGUUCGCUUGUUCAAAAAAAUUGAAGUUGUUCGCUAAACAAACCCUAGCUACGCUUUCCCAAAUCGUCAAACUAGGUUCGCCUCUCGGAUAGCUUUGUUGAAUCGCUUGCGGAAAGACUCAAGUGUUGGCAGAAGAUCAAUCAAGAUAUUCAUCCAGGUUCUUGCUUGCACUAAGUCUGUGGCGACUAAAAUUUAUAUGUGCUUGGACCUUCUUGCUGAUAUACCCCAUGGAUCUAAGUCAGCUCGUCAACAACCUCAUGAUGUUUCAAAUCAUGCAAAUGGAACCACUGGGUGGGAGUUGACACUUGUUACUGCUCGAAGUUCAAAUGAGAGUGCUGAAGCAACUAGCAAAUUGAUUGGGUUUGAAGAGGAUUACUUUGGUGUUUCUGAUAAAGUCGGCUGUGAGGGAUUCAAUGACUCAGCUUCCAAGUCCGGUGCAUAUGCAUUUUGAGAUUAUGGAUACCACGCCUUCUUAAGUCGGGUGAGGCGUGACUGACCUAACAAAUUUUUGUUAAGUCAGUUCAAAAUUUGACUUAACAAGUCAAAACUUGUUAUGUAGCCCACUCUUAAGUCAGGCACGGAACCGAUAUAAAUAGCCUUUUUUGCACUAGUGGUAGGUUGGUGUGACUGGAAAUCUGGGACCCAUGUUGGGAGCUUUACAACCAGAUAUUUGCUUACUAAGGUGACAUAUCUUGGUUUCUUCUUUCUUUAAGUAAUCCAUAGGUCUAAGGAGAGUGUGAUGUAUUUAACUAUCAUUAUUCUCUAUGCUAGUAAGUUAUUUUUUCUUCUAUUAUUAGUAAUUUAAUAUCCUGGGACCCUCUUCUGUUAGCACAACUGUCAGUUACCUGUUAUAACAGGUUAAGUCUCACGCAUGUAUAUAAGCCGAGACUCACAUUCAUUGUGAUUAACAAUUCAGAAAUAGAAAAUCAACUACAGUAAUAUCUAGAAUCUAUUGAUUUUGAACCACACUUUAUACAAACAUUCUUUAUAGGUUAAAAUAAGUUAGGAUACCAAAUUCCCAUGUUCAGGUGACAAGUAUAAUUGGGGUUAGCUCCGUUAGAACUAACAUGAAGGCUUAAUGGACUUAUUAGGAGGUCUGUAGGUACAAGUACCAGGCGUGAUAUUGUCACAAAACCUUUGCUUAUAGUUAUGUUUUACCAACUAAAAGAAACAGAUGGGAACUCAUGACAUAUUUGACUCGAAAUUGCUAAUUUACACGAUGCCUAGGCCAAGUAUCUGUAAAUAGUAGAAGUCAGAUUUAGAAAUAUAUUUUUUAACUCUAAAAAGGAAUUUUUAUGCAAAAGUUGUAAGUUUGAAAGAAUUUAGGACACUUUAAGCGGAACUAUAAAAAAACCAAAAAAAGUUUUCUAUUUAUUUUCCAAACCAAUUGGAGAUAGCAAGAAUGGAUAUGAAACGGCGACAAGUGGAUACUGUUUCGAGUAACUUUUGUGAAUAUGAUAAUGAUUGAGUUUCUAAUCUUUUCUCCACAUUUUCAUUUUAUAAUGUCCUAACAAUUUAGGAGUUGUGUUUAUUUGUUCUGUCAUAUGCUUAUUUUAUUUUUGUUGUCUUUAUAAUAUAUAUGCAGUAUUUGAAAAUUAGCGUUAUUUGAAAGUUAGUGUUACAUAGUUUAAUAAGUUGUUUUACUUAUUUGAAAAUUUAUGAAAUAGUUUUGUUGUAUACAAGAGAAUAAAUACUAAGAUAUUGUGGAGAAGUUAAGUGUAACAGUUGCUCAAGUUGGUGAGUUAUUGACAAGUUGCUGCCUAAAUAUUCAGUUUGACACCAAAAUUUUGAAAAAGAAUUUUUCUUUCAAUGUCACAAAAAAAUGAAACCCGUAUUGGGUAAUUUAACUGUUGUUUCGGUGGCUGUUAAAUUCGAUUAGACUAAAUACACUAUAUUUUAAAUGUUGAGUUGAUAUAUUGAUCUAAAAUUUAUUUGUUGCUAUUGGGUUGAUAUUGCCGGUAGGUCCCUUUUCGGAAAAAUUAUUUUUCUUUUCAUUUUCAUGUCUAGCGAAGCGGAGUCGACAUUGUAAGAUGCUUGCAUUUGCCCGCAUGUAUGACAUAGCGGGGUGUGGUACGUUCUAUAAUGUUGGUUCCUACAGAUGCGAGGGCAUAUGAGCGGUAUCGUGGAUGUUUGUGUUUACUGGCUCAAUGUUUUUGCAUCGAACGAUUUACAUAUAAUCCUUAUCAUUUUUGAAUGUUGGCUUUGUGUCUUUGGUUCUUGUCCGUAGUUCUUUGACUUAUAAGAUGCUAUUAGAAGUGACUUGUUUUACAUAAAUCCUAUACGAUUGAUUGAUAUUGUGAUGACUCUUUGAAUUUAUACAACUUUGUCGCUUGAGUUAUUUCGUAGGUCAAAAAAAAUGUGUUGUCCCCUUUUCCUAAACUUUGUGCCUUCUAGUGCUAAGAUUCUAAAAUUGAUGGAUUUGAUGGAUGUUUUGUUUUGGUCCAAUUAUUAUUGGCUAUAUAAGUUUUGAGAUGAUUUAACUUUUGUGCCAAUGACCCUUAAGUCCAAUUGCAACUGGCCAUAUAAAUUUGGAGAUGUUCAAAUGUUGCAUCGAAGACCCUAGUGUCCUAGUGCUAUUCUAAGAUGGUUAUAUGUGGCCUCCAUCACUUAAAUUCAAUUGAUAUAGAAAUAUACAUUAUUUUGACAUGGUUAUGUGUUGCCCCGAUAACGCUUAAGUCCGAUUGUUACCGACUAUAUAUAUUCAGAGAUGGUUAGAUGUUCCUUCGAUGGCCUCUAAGUACGAGAUUUUAUUCGUUGCCUCAAUGACCACUUAAAGUCCAAUAAAAUUUUAGAUGCUUAGAUGUUUUCUUGACAUGUUCAAUAAAUUUUUAUAUGGUUAUAUGUUGGCCCGAUGACCCAAAGGUAAACUGCUAUUGGCUACGAUAAUUAUCUUAAGAUAGUUAAAUGUUGUCUGGAUGACUUUUAUUGGUUGCAUAAACAUAGAUGGUGAAUAUUGUCUCGAUGCAGUUUAAUCCACUUGUCAAGGCAAGUUCACUUCCUUUUUGUUUGUAUUUUUGUUUUAUUUCAAUUUUAAAUUUUAUCAUGUACUAAUCUUUGUUUUUGAACAGGUUACGUUGAGAAUUAGAACUGACGUGAAAGAGAAAAUUGCAUAAUUAACAUUGAUGUCUUAUGCUCGAAAAAGGUACCAAUUUUUCUCGAUAAUUAAAAUGCAAUCAAUCCUCUGCCUAAAAAUUCAGUUUGACACCAAAAUCUUGAAAAAUAAUUUUUCUUUCAAUAUGUCACAAAAAAAAAAAAAGAAGGUAAACUCGUAUUGGGUAAUUUAAAUAUUGUUUCGGUGACUUUUCGUUCGAUUAGACCAAAUACACUCUAUUUUAAAUGUUGAUGUUAUAUAUUGAUCUAAAAUGUAUUUGUUUCUAUUGGGUUCAUAUUGCCGGUAGGUCCUUUUUCGGUAAAAAUGUUUUUCUUUUCAUUUUCAUGCCUAGCGAAGCGGAGUCGACGUUGUAAGAUGCUUCCAUUUGCCCGCAUGUCAUGACAUAGUCGGGUGUGGUACGUUCUACAAUGUUGGUUCCUACAGACGCGAGGGCAUAUGAGCGGUAUUGUGGAUGUUUGUGUUUACUGGCUCAAUGUUUUUGCAUUGAACGAUUUACAUAUAAUCCUUAUCAUUUUUGAAUGUUGGCUUUGUGUCUUUGGUUCUUGUCUGUAGUUCCUCUUUGACUUAUAAGAUGCUAUAGAAGUGACUUGUUUUACAUUAAUCCUAUACGAUCGAUUGAUAUUGUGAUGACUUUUUGAAUUUAUACAACUUUGUCGCUUGAGUUAUUUCGUAGGUCAAAAAAAUGUGUUGUCCCCUUUUCCUAAACUUUGUGCCUUCUAGUGCUAAGAUUCUAAAAUUGAUGGAUUUGAAGGAUGUUUUGGUCCAAUUGUUAUUGGCUAUAUAAGUUUUGAGUUGAUUUAACUUUUGUGUCGAUGACCCUUAAGUCCAAUUGCAACUAACCAUAUAAAUUUGGAGAUGUUCAAAUGUUGCAUCGAUGACCCUAGUGUCCUAGUGCUAUUAUAAGAUGGUUAUAUGUUUCCUCAACUCAAUCACUUUAAUUCAAUUGUUAUUGAAAUAUACAUUAUUUUGAUAUGGUUAUGUGUUGCCCCGAUGACGCUUAAGUCCGAUUGUUACUCACUAUAUAGAUUCAGAGAUGGUUAAAUGUUCCUUUGAUGGCCUCUUAAUUCGAGAUUUUUAUCGGUUGCCUUAAUGACCCUUAAAGUCCAAUAAAAUUUGAGAUGGUCAGAUGUUUUCUUGAUAUGUUCAAUAAAUUUUGAUAUGGUUACAUGUGUUGCCCCGAUGACCCUAAGAUAAACUGCUAUUGGCUAUGAAAAUUAUCUUGAGAUGGUUUAACUAUUGCGUCGAUGACCCCUAAGUCCAAUUGCAACUGACCAUAUAAAUUUGGAGAUGUUCAAAUGUUGCAUCAAUGACCCAAGUGUCCAAGUGCUAUUCUAACAUGGUUAUAUGUUGCCUCAAUCACUUAAAUUCAAUUGUUAUUGAAAUAUACAUUAUUUUGAUAUGGUUAUGUGUUUCCCCGAUGACACUUAACUCCAAUUGUUACUGACUAUAUAGAUUCAGAGAUGGUUAAAUAUUCCUUCGAAGGCCUCUAAGUACGAGAUUUUUAUUUGUUGCCUCAAUGCCCCUUAAAGUCCAAUAAAAUUUGAUAUGGUUAGAUGUUUUCUUGAUAUGUUCAUUAAAUUUUGAUAUGGUUAUAUGUUACCCCGAUGACCCUAAGGUAAACUGCUAUUGGCUAUGAAAAUUAUCUUAAGAUGAUUAAAUGUUGCCUGGAUGACUUUUAUGUCCCAUUGCUAUUGGCUCAAUAAUUUAUGAGAUGGUUAACUGUUGACUUCACAACUAUUAAGUUCAAUUGCUAUUAGUUGCAUAAACAUAGAUGGUGAAAUAUUGUCUCGAUGCAGUUUAAUCCACUUUGUCAAGACAAGUUCACUUUCUUUGUUUUUGAGCAUGUUACAUUGAAAAUUAUAACUGACGCGAAAGAGAAAAUUGCAUAAUUAACAUUGUUGUAUGCUGGAAACAAGGUACCAAUUUUUCUAGAUAAUUAAAAUGCUUUCAAUCCUCUGCCUAAAAAUUCAGUUUGACACCAAAAUCUUGAAAAAUAUUUUUUCUUUCGUUAUGUCACAAAAAAAUGAAUCCCGUAUUGGGUAAUUAAAAUGUUGUUUCGGUGGCUGUUAAAUUUGAUUAGACUAAAUACACUAUAUUUUAAAUGUUGAGGUUAUAUUGAUCGAAAAUUUAUUUGUUGGUAUUGGGUUGAUAUUGCCGAUAGGUCCCUUCUGUGUGGCUUGUCAGCAUUAGUUUGAGCGCUUGCUUUAGUUUCAAUUGUCUGAUCUUCAAUCAUCUGGUAACACUAAUUAUAUUUUUUUUUUUUGAAGAAGUCAAAAUGAUAUAUAUUAACACAAACAACCUCUCAUGCACAAGACGUACCGAGGUAGACUAAAUAAUUACAAGAGAGUCAGAGAGAUACAAUCAAAAUAAAAUCAUACAAGGCUCAAACACAACAAUGGACUAGACCACCAGCUAUGAAAAAAAAAAAGAAAAAUUAUACAGGGUCAAACCUUACCCAGAAUGAAAGCAAAGAAAUGAAAAUAACAAACAAAAAGAACAAAAAUAAAACAGAAAACAAAUCUAUGAUUAGAGAAACUAACCCUAGUUUUUGGUGAAGAGAUGAGCUAUGAAGCACUGACAUCUCUAUGUUUAAGCGUGUUGCGGUGUUCGACACAUGUUGGAUAACUCAUAUUGGUGUCGGAAAAAAUUCAAAUUUUCCUUUAGUUUGACACUCCUUUGAUCGGUGUUCGACAUCUGUAGGUUGUAAGACACUCAUAUAACACGUAUCAGACAUAUCUACAAGAGUUAAAGAUGUGUAGAAACAACAAUAUUGAUCAAUGAAGGAUUGAAGACAUUACAUUUAGA
RNA transcript from Trifolium pratense (red clover), 6240 nucleotides. RefSeq lists it as uncharacterized. The transcript is spliced from 7 exons. The record is from RefSeq and is a predicted model, not a curated record. NCBI's taxonomy places the organism in Eukaryota, Viridiplantae, Streptophyta, Magnoliopsida, Fabales, Fabaceae.